This 708-nucleotide ribosomal RNA is filed under the name uncultured bacterium. Its description in RNAcentral is "bacterial SSU rRNA". It matches the Rfam family "Bacterial small subunit ribosomal RNA", at positions 62 to 804 of the family's 1533-position model. The record is from RNAcentral.
UCGCACGCUCGGUCUUCGGACCGGGCGUGGCGCACGGCUGAGGAACACGUGGGCACCUGCCCUCCGGUGGGGGAUAACCCCGCGAAAGCGGGGCUAAUCCCGCAUACGCUUGGCGAAAGUCAAGGAAAGUGGCAACGCGCCGGAGGAGGGGCCUGCGGCCCAUCAGGUCGUCGGUGGGGUAACGGCCUACCGAGCCGAUGACGGGUAGCUGGUCUGUGAGGACAACCAGCCAGACUGGGACUGAGACACGGCCCAGACUCCUACGGGAGGCAGCAGCAAGGAAUUUUCCCCAAUGGGCGCAAGCCUGAGGGAGCAACGCCGCGUGCAGGACGACGGCCUUCGGGUUGUAAACUGCUUUUGGGAGGGACGACGAUGACGGUACCUCCCGAAUAAGCCCCGGCUAACUCUGUGCCAGCAGCCGCGGUAAGACAGAGGGGGCAAGCGUUGUCCGGACUGACUGGGCGUAAAGCGCGCGCAGGCGGCGCGGGGCGUCGGUGCUGAAAUCGGGCCGCUUAACGGCCCGCGGCGUGCCGAUACGCCCGUGCUGGAGGGUGGGCGAGGGUGGUGGAAUUGCCGGUGUAGUGGUGAAAUGCGAAGAGAUCGGAAGGAACACCCGUGGCGAAAGCGGCCACCUAGCCCGCACCUGACGCUGAUGCGCGACAGCGUGGGGAGCGAACUGGAUUAGAUACCCAGGUAGUCCACGCCGUA